GACGAACGCUGGCGGCGUGCCUAAUACAUGCAAGUCGGACGCACAGUCUAUACCGUAGCUUGCUACACCAUAGGCUGUGAGUUGCGAACGGGUGAGUAACGCGUAGGUAACCUGCCUAUUAGAGGGGGAUAACUAUUGGAAACGAUAGCUAAUACCGCAUAACAGUAUGUAACACAUGUUAGAUGCUUGAAAGAUGCAAUUGCAUCCCUAGUAGAUGGACCUUCGUUGUAUUAGCUAGUAGGUAUGGUAAUGGCCUACCUAUGCGACGAUACAUAGCCGACCUGGUAGGGUGAUCGGCCACUCUUGGACUGAGUCACGCCCCAGAAUCCUUCGGGAGGCAGCAGUAGGGAAUCGUCGGCAAUGGGGGGAACCCUGAGCGAGCAACGCCGCGUGAGUGAAGAAGGUUGUCGGAUCGUAAAGCUCGGUUGUUAAGGAAGAACGAGUGUGAGAAUGGAAAGUUCAUACUGUGACGUUACUUAAGCAGAAAGGGACGGCUAACUACGUG
Molecule: ribosomal RNA, 505 nt
Filed under: uncultured bacterium
Lineage: Bacteria
Description: partial 16S ribosomal RNA
Rfam family: Bacterial small subunit ribosomal RNA
Source: RNAcentral